AACGAACGCUGGCGGCAUGCCUAACACAUGCAAGUCGAACGAUGCCUUCGGGCAUAGUGGCGCACGGGUGCGUAACGCGUGGGAAUCUGCCUUUCGGUUCGGAAUAACUCAGGGAAACUUGAGCUAAUACCGGAUAACGUCGCAAGACCAAAGAUUUAUCACCGAAAGAUGAGCCCGCGUAGGAUUAGCUAGUUGGUGAGGUAAAGGCUCACCAAGGCGACGAUCCUUAGCUGGUCUGAGAGGAUGAUCAGCCACACUGGGACUGAGACACGGCCCAGACUCCUACGGGAGGCAGCAGUGGGGAAUAUUGGACAAUGGGCGAAAACCUGAUCCAGCAAUGCCGCGUGAGUGAUGAAGGCCUUAGGGUUGUAAAGCUCUUUUACCCGGGAAGAUAAUGACGGUACCGGGAGAAUAAGCCCCGGCUAACUCCGUG
RNAcentral lists this ribosomal RNA (433 nucleotides) under uncultured bacterium. RNAcentral's name for it is "partial 16S ribosomal RNA". It matches the Rfam family "Bacterial small subunit ribosomal RNA", at positions 29 to 507 of the family's 1533-position model. The record is from RNAcentral.